RNAcentral lists this ribosomal RNA (450 nucleotides) under uncultured bacterium. Its description in RNAcentral is "partial 16S ribosomal RNA". It matches the Rfam family "Bacterial small subunit ribosomal RNA", at positions 338 to 795 of the family's 1533-position model. The record is from RNAcentral.
CCUACGGGAGGCAGCAGUAAGGAAUAUUGGUCAAUGGAGGAAACUCUGAACCAGCCAUCCCGCGUGAAGGAUGAAGGGGCUCUGCCUUGUAAACUUCUUUUGUCUGGGGCGAAAAAGCUCGAUUUAUCGAGAACUGACGGUACCAGAAGAAUAAGCACCGGCUCACUCCGUGCCAGCAGCCGCGGUAAUACGGAGGGUGCCGGCGUUAUCCGGAAUCACUGGGUUUAAGGGGUGUGAGGGCGGCAGUGUUGAAAGGCGGUGGCUUAACCAUGGAAUUGCCAUUGAUACUGCAGAGCUUGAAUGAGGUUGAGGUUGGCGGAAUGUGACAUGUAGCGGUGAAAUGCUUAGAUAUGUCAUGGAACACCGAUGGCGAAGGCAGCUGACUGGACCUAUAUUGACGCUGAGGCACGAAAGCGUGGGGAGCGAACAGGAUUAGAUACCCCGGUAGUC